Molecule: ribosomal RNA, 120 nt
Filed under: Vairimorpha bombi
Lineage: Eukaryota; Fungi; Microsporidia; Nosematidae
Description: Nosema bombi partial large subunit ribosomal RNA
Source: RNAcentral
UUACCCACACAUGGGAUCAAUAGGAUACCAUAACGAUGAAGGUCGUAGUAGAAUACGAAAGUAUACUUACCGAAUUUAUAUUCUAGUAUAGAUUACCCUUUGAACUUAAGCAUAUCAUUA